RNAcentral lists this ribosomal RNA (869 nucleotides) under Cordyceps cateniannulata. RNAcentral describes it as "partial large subunit ribosomal RNA". It matches the Rfam family "Eukaryotic large subunit ribosomal RNA", at positions 37 to 938 of the family's 3401-position model. The record is from RNAcentral. Lineage: Eukaryota; Fungi; Ascomycota; Sordariomycetes; Hypocreales; Cordycipitaceae.
AGCAUAUCAAUAAGCGGAGGAAAAGAAACCAACAGGGAUUGCCCCAGUAACGGCGAGUGAAGCGGCAACAGCUCAAAUUUGAAAUCUGGCCCCCGGGUCCGAGUUGUAAUUUGCAGAGGAUGCUUUGGGCGAGGUGCCUUCCGAGUUCCCUGGAACGGGACGCCACAGAGGGUGAGAGCCCCGUCUGGUCGGACACCGAGCCCGUGUAAAGCUCCUUCGACGAGUCGAGUAGUUUGGGAAUGCUGCUCAAAAUGGGAGGUAUAUGUCUUCUAAAGCUAAAUAUUGGCCAGAGACCGAUAGCGCACAAGUAGAGUGAUCGAAAGAUGAAAAGCACUUUGAAAAGAGGGUUAAAAAGUACGUGAAAUUGUUGAAAGGGAAGCGCCUAUGACCAGACUUGGGCCCGGUGAAUCAUCCAGCGUUCUCGCUGGUGCACUUUGCCGGGCACAGGCCAGCAUCAGUUUGGCGCGGGGGACAAAGGCUUCGGGAAUGUGGCUCCCUCGGGAGUGUUAUAGCCCGCUGCGUAAUACCCUGCGCCGGACUGAGGUACGCGCAUCGCAAGGAUGCUGGCGUAAUGGUCAUCAGCGACCCGUCUUGAAACACGGACCAAGGAGUCGUCUUCGUAUGCGAGUGUUCGGGUGUCAAACCCCUACGCGGAAUGAAAGUGAACGCAGGUGAGAGCUUCGGCGCAUCAUCGACCGAUCCUGAUGUUCUCGGAUGGAUUUGAGUAAGAGCAUACGGGGCCGGACCCGAAAGAAGGUGAACUAUGCCUGUAUAGGGUGAAGCCAGAGGAAACUCUGGUGGAGGCUCGCAGCGGUUCUGACGUGCGAAUCGAUCGUCAAAUAUGGGCAUGGGGGCGAAAGACUAAUCGA